CCAUUUAUAUUUAAAAUUUUAACCGUUGGAUUAAAAUCUAAUGGUUAAGAUUGCAUCAACCUUUUUAAGUCCUUCCCUAUUUCCUAACCCUAGUUUCCUUUUCACACAUGAUUUCACACUUCACACAGCCGUGGGCGGCAGCGGCGAUCACCACGGAGGCGGAGGCCGCGACCACAGGCAUGGCCAUGGCGGAGAGGCAUGGGAUUUCAGGAAGAAGGUGUGGAGCAUGAUGGGGGGGCCUACAAGCACUAGCACCGCACGGCGAUCGCCAUGGCCGGGAUCUUCCUCACCUGCGUCCCCAUCGCCAUGAAAUCUGUCGAGCUCGAGGUUUUUUUGCCCUAUUUUUUCUGUAGUUUUUGGUAUCAUCAGUGGGUUGUGGGGAUGGGGAUCGGGAUCGGGGUGGGGUAAUCCGAGGAUUCGUUGUAGGGUAUGAGUGGAAGAACGAUGAGAUUGAGUGGAUUUUUGAGUCAUUUUUUGCGGAUUCGAUGUGAUUUAGCGUUUAAGGUUACGAGAAAAUGUAGAGAAAUGGGAGUAUUUAACCUUUUUUUUUCUUCUAAUUAUUGAAAUAAUCACUGAUUCUCGUUCUCUCUCUCUCUCUCUUACGCAACCAGCCACAGGCGGCAGCACCGCCGUUCGCAAACACCCGGCAGCGGCAGCGAACUUCGACAGCGGCGUUAACGACCCGAGAGCUCGAGCCGAACACGAGCCGACCUUGGGACGUUCGAGCCGAGCUCGAGCUGGCUCCCGCUCGCUCGAGCUCGGCUCGUUUACAGCCCUAAUUAGAUGUCGCCAAUGACAUGUUACGUUAGUUGCAAUCAUCACCCAACAAAAAAGCAGCAGCUCUUAUAGUGCAGAAGUUAGCAUUGGUGAUGCUUGUUCUAACAUUCACACAGACUCCCCUAUUGUUGCUGAUUAAUGUCAAGUGCUUCUAUGUUCUCACCAAAAAUGUUUGAAUCUGAACUAUCAGAUCCAUAGAUGAUGAGUUCAAAAUCUCCCACAACGGGAUGGUGCAUGCAUCAAGAUUACCUCUUUAAAAGCAUACUGGUACUCUUUAUAGCCCUUUUGAACCCUAUUUAACAUUUUGAAAUCCUAGUUGGUACCCAAGGCCCAAAUUUGAAUCCUAAUUGAUUCACAUUUUUAGCUAAGUUUAUUUCUAAAUAAAAUAAACGAUAGAGUAGGGGUAGGAAAACGAAUGAGGGAG
RNAcentral lists this long non-coding RNA (1201 nucleotides) under Ananas comosus (pineapple). RNAcentral describes it as "long non-coding RNA (ACOM_LNC007944)". Lineage: Eukaryota; Viridiplantae; Streptophyta; Magnoliopsida; Poales; Bromeliaceae. The record is from RNAcentral.